This 99-nucleotide signal recognition particle RNA is filed under the name Candidatus Limimonas egerieequi. RNAcentral describes it as "signal recognition particle sRNA small type". It matches the Rfam family "Bacterial small signal recognition particle RNA". From Rfam's summary of the family: The signal recognition particle (SRP) is a universally conserved ribonucleoprotein involved in the co-translational targeting of proteins to membranes. Archaeal SRP consists of a 7S RNA and homologues of the eukaryotic SRP19 and SRP54 proteins. In most bacteria, the SRP consists of a 4.5S RNA and the Ffh protein (a homologue of the eukaryotic SRP54 protein). The record is from RNAcentral. Lineage: Bacteria; Bacillati; Bacillota; Clostridia; Eubacteriales; Acutalibacteraceae.
GUGUGGGUCCUGUGCGACAGGACGUCGUGAACCAUGUCAGGCGGGGAACCGAGCAGCAUUAAGCGAUUAGUUCUGUGCGCCACAGUCCGCCUGCGCGCU